AUGACACCAACCUGCAUGGGUAUGGUGUGGAAAGUUUUUCGGUCUGGGAUGGACUCGCGGCCUAUCAGCUUGUUGGUGAGGUAAUGGCUCACCAAGGCGACGACGGGUAGCCGGCCUGAGAGGGCGACCGGCCACACUGGGACUGAGACACGGCCCAGACUCCUACGGGAGGCAGCAGUGGGGAAUAUUGCACAAUGGGCGAAAGCCUGAUGCAGCGACGCCGCGUGAGGGAUGACGGCCUUCGGGUUGUAAACCUCUUUCAGCAGGGAAGAAGCGCAAGUGACGGUACCUGCAGAAGAAGCACCGGCUAACUACGUGCCAGCAGCCGCGGUAAUACGUAGGGUGCGAGCGUUGUCCGGAAUUAUUGGGCGUAAAGAGCUUGUAGGCGGUUUGUCGCGUCUGCCGUGAAAAUUCGAGGCUCAACCUCGAACUUGCGGUGGGUACGGGCAGACUAGAGUGUGGUAGGGGAGACUGGAAUUCCUGGUGUAGCGGUGAAAUGCGCAGAUAUCAGGAGGAACACCGAUGGCGAAGGCAGGUCUCUGGGCCACUACUGACGCUGAGAAGCGAAAGCAUGGGGAGCGAACAGGAUUAGAUACCCUGGUAGUCCAUGCCGUAAACGUUGGGAACUAGGUGUGGGUCUCAUUCCACGAGAUCCGUGCCGCAGCUAACGCAUUAAGUUCCCCGCCUGGGGAGUACGGCCGCAAGGCUAAAACUCAAAGGAAUUGACGGGGGCCCGCACAAGCGGCGGAGCAUGCGGAUUAAUUCGAUGCAACGCGAAGAACCUUACCAAGGCUUGACAUAUGCGAGAACGCGGCAGAGAUGUCGUUCUCUUUGGACACUCGCAUACAGGUGGUGCAUGGUUGUCGUCAGCUCGUGUCGUGAGAUGUUGGGUUAAGUCCCGCAACGAGCGCAACCCUCGUUCUAUGUUGCCAGCACGUGAUGGUGGGGACUCAUAGGAGACUGCCGGGGUCAACUCGGAGGAAGGUGGGGAUGACGUCAAAUCAUCAUGCCCCUUAUGUCUUGGGCUUCACGCAUGCUACAAUGGCCGGUACAAAGGGCUGCGAUACCGCGAGGUGGAGCGAAUCCCAAAAAACCGGUCUCAGUUCGGAUUG
Molecule: ribosomal RNA, 1112 nt
Filed under: Salmonella enterica
Lineage: Bacteria; Pseudomonadati; Pseudomonadota; Gammaproteobacteria; Enterobacterales; Enterobacteriaceae
Description: bacterial SSU rRNA
Rfam family: Bacterial small subunit ribosomal RNA
Source: RNAcentral